GACGAACGCUGGCGGCGUGCUUAACACAUGCAAGUCGAGCGGUAAGGCCCUUUCGGGGGUACACGAGCGGCGAACGGGUGAGUAACACGUGGGUGACCUGCCCUCAGCUCUGGGAUAAGCCUGGGAAACCGGGUCUAAUACCGGAUAUGACUCCAUGACGCAUGUUGUGGGGUGGAAAGCCUUGUGCGGCUGAGGAUGGGCCCGCGGCCUAUCAGCUUGUUGGUGGGGUGAUGGCCUACCAAGGCGACGACGGGUAGCCGGCCUGAGAGGGCGACCGGCCACACUGGGACUGAGACACGGCCCAGACUCCUACGGGAGGCAGCAGUGGGGAAUCUUAGCGCAAUGGGCGAAAGCCUGACGCAGCGACGCCGCGUGA
RNAcentral lists this ribosomal RNA (376 nucleotides) under uncultured bacterium. RNAcentral's name for it is "bacterial SSU rRNA". It matches the Rfam family "Bacterial small subunit ribosomal RNA", at positions 28 to 404 of the family's 1533-position model. The record is from RNAcentral.